Molecule: ribosomal RNA, 424 nt
Filed under: Verrucomicrobiota bacterium
Lineage: Bacteria; Pseudomonadati; Verrucomicrobiota
Description: Verrucomicrobia bacterium partial 16S ribosomal RNA
Rfam family: Bacterial small subunit ribosomal RNA
Source: RNAcentral
UGAGGAAUAUUGGUCAAUGGACGCAAGUCUGAACCAGCCAAGUAGCGUGCAGGAUGACGGCCCUAUGGGUUGUAAACUGCUUUUAUAUGGGGAUAAAGUGGGGAACGUGUUCCCUUUUGCAGGUACCAUAUGAAUAAGGACCGGCUAAUUCCGUGCCAGCAGCCGCGGUAAUAAGGAAGGUUCGGGCGUUAUCCGGAUUUAUUGGGUUUAAAGGGAGCGUAGGCCGUUUGGUAAGCGUGUUGUGAAAUGUAGGAGCUCAACUUCUAGAUUGCAGCGCGAACUGUCAGACUUGAGUGCGCACAACGUAGGCGGAAUUCAUGGUGUAGCGGUGGAAUGCUUAGAUAUCAUGAAGAACUCCGAUUGCGAAGGCAGCUUACGGGAGCGCAACUGACGCUGAAGCUCGAAGGUGCGGGUAUCGAACAGG